GUAACAAGGUUUCCGUAGGUGAACCUGCGGAAGGAUCAUCA
RNAcentral lists this ribosomal RNA (41 nucleotides) under Inocybe serrata. RNAcentral's name for it is "partial small subunit ribosomal RNA". It matches the Rfam family "Eukaryotic small subunit ribosomal RNA", at positions 1791 to 1831 of the family's 1831-position model. Lineage: Eukaryota; Fungi; Basidiomycota; Agaricomycetes; Agaricales; Inocybaceae. The record is from RNAcentral.